GACGAACGCUGGCGGCGUGCUUAACACAUGCAAGUCGAACGGAAAGGCCCUGCUUUUGUGGGGUGCUCGAGUGGCGAACGGGUGAGUAACACGUGAGUAACCUGCCCUUGACUUUGGGAUAACUUCAGGAAACUGGGGCUAAUACCUGAUAGGAGCUCCUGCUGCAUGGUGGGGGUUGGAACGUUUCGGCGGUUGGGGAUGGACUCGCGGCUUAUCAGCUUGUUGGUGGGGUAGUGGCUUACCAAGGCUUUGACGGGUAGCCGGCCUGAGAGGGUGACCGGCCACAUUGGGACUGAGAUACGGCCCAGACUCCUACGGGAGGCAGCAGUGGGGAAUAUUGCACAAUGGGCGGAAGCCUGAUGCAGCAACGCCGCGUGCGGGAUGAAGGCCUUCGGGUUGUAAACCGCUUUCGCCUGUGACGAAGCGUGAGUGACGGUAAUGGGUAAAGAAGCACCGGCUAACUACGUG
RNAcentral lists this ribosomal RNA (468 nucleotides) under uncultured bacterium. Its description in RNAcentral is "partial 16S ribosomal RNA". It matches the Rfam family "Bacterial small subunit ribosomal RNA", at positions 28 to 507 of the family's 1533-position model. The record is from RNAcentral.